GACGAACGCUGGCGGCGUGCUUAACACAUGCAAGUCGAACGGAAAGGUCCUGCUUUUGUGGGGUGCUCGAGUGGCGACCGGGUGAGUAACCCGUGUGUAACGUGUCCUUGCCUUUGGGAUAACUUCAGGCCACUUGGGCUAUUACCGGGUAGGAUCUCCUGGUGCAUGGUCGGGGUGGGAUAGUUUCGGCGGUUGGGGGUGUACUCGCGGCUUAUCCGCUUGUUGGUGGGGUAGUGGCUUACCAAGGCUUGGACGGGUAGCCGUCCUGAGAGGGGGACCGGCCACAUUAGGACUGGGAUGCGGCCCAGACUCCUACGGGAGGCAACAGAGGAGAAGAGUGUACAAGAGGCGGAAGCCUGAUGCAACAACGCCGCGUGGGGGAUGACGGCCUGCGGGUAGUAAUCCACUCUCGCCUGUGACGAGACGAGAGUGACGGUAAUAGGAAAAGAAGCACCGGCUAACUACGUG
This 468-nucleotide ribosomal RNA is filed under the name uncultured bacterium. Its description in RNAcentral is "partial 16S ribosomal RNA". It matches the Rfam family "Bacterial small subunit ribosomal RNA", at positions 28 to 507 of the family's 1533-position model. The record is from RNAcentral.